GCCCCCUCCCUCUCAAUCUCUCCUUCUCUCAUGUGCUUGGAAUAUGCUCAGGGUUAACUCAGAGCAACCGAAGCACGCGUAAUGAACUGAGUAUUAGCGGCAAUUUUAAAGGAAGGGACGGCCGUGGACGGCUGGAUAUUUGGCGGACUGUCCACCGGGUCCCACACAGCAUUUCUCCUACCUGGGAUGAUUUCUGAUUGCAUAUGCCGAUUGCGGUGAUGCUUCUCGCGCAGUUUGAGAAAGUAAGUGCAACUUUGGUGAGUCUCCUUUGACUGUGCGUAAAGCCAAUGCAGUUUGAUGUGCUUAAAGCCAAUGCAGUUUGAUGUGCGUAAAGCCAAUGCAGUCGGAUGUGCGUAAAGCCAAUGCAGUCGGAUGUGCGUAAAGCCAAUGCAGUCUGAUGUGCGUAAAGCCAAUGCAGUCGGAUGUGCGUAAAGCCAAUGCAGUCUGAUGUGCGUAAAGCCAAUGCAGUCGGAUGUGCGUAAAGCCAAUGCAGUCUGAUGUGCGUAAAAGUUAGAGUGAAGUUGAAUGACUCCGUGAAUAAUAGACAACAUUAAUUUGGUUCUUAUCGGCUAGUGGACGUGAUGUAGGCCUAUAUAAAUAUGUUGUUCUAGCUGAGGAAGACCAUCUAGGCUAUGAUUAGUGUUAGGCAGGUCGGAGGUAUGUUUAGGCAGGUCGGAGGUGAAGUUCAAGGCAGUGCUUCGUUGGACUAGUGCUCUGCCCUGGCACAUACAUGUUGGCACGUUCGUUUAUUUUGUAGCCUACUGAAUUAACUGAAAUAAAUAAGCAGGAUGAAAACUCGGAGCUUUAUUCAGACUGGUGGCGUGAGCUUGUCGCAACCUGUCACACUCACAGUAGCCAACGCCUCUCAAUGCAUUGGGCCAAAGUGCACAUUGCGCAAUCAAAUCAAAUCAAAUCAAAUGUAUUUAUAUAGCCCUUCCUACAUCAGCUGAUAUCUCAAAGUGCUGUACAGAAACCCUGCCUAAAACCCCAAACAGCAAGCAAUGCAGGUGUAGAAGCACGUUUUGUUGGUAAAAGGGUUGGAGAAAUAUGGCCCUGAUUCCCCUUGCUCAGGAGAGAGACCAAAUGGACAUGUCUGUCUGGGACUUUGCCUACUGCUGAACCAACAUGAGCUCAGGUGAGAGAGGAGUCAUCAGGAGCCAGACAGAGAGAACCAGGAUAACGGCUGACGUGGCCAUGUGUUAAGGAUGGCCCACAGAUCGCAGAGAUGGAGCAUCUAUCUGUGUGACCCUUUACUGUUGUCUCUAGUGGAGCUCGAGACAUGGACUUCCAUCACCACCUGAACAUCAACAUGCACAACCGUCAAGAUACAGUAUGCUGAGAAGACAGAUACAGAACUCUGCUAUUUAUCAUCAGCAUGCAUACAUCUGUUCUAGAUACACAGAAACCACCAAAUAUACACUAACAUCCUUUGAAUCAAGUCAGUGUUUUGUAUCAUUGUGAUUUAAAUCUUGUUUGUUGUAAAACUGUUUACCAUAUGUCUACUCACUGGGAUGUAAAAGUACAACAUUAUUUAUUCUGAAUUGUAAAAGUCUGUAUUGGACCUGGCAUAUUGGUAUAUUGGAUUUUGAAUGAACCUGCCCUUAGAAUACAGCAUGACAUCAGAAGGGAACCCGCAGAGCACAUUGUCUUUAUCUGACAUUGACUGAAUUUAUAGAAAAAGUAAACCUCAAUGGGAAUAUUUUUCUACUUUCUCAAAUCACUGAAUUUCCUCAAUGAACGGAAUAAAGUAUAUUCAAGAAUAUCUUGUUUCUGACUUUUUUACAGUAUGUCUACAGUAGACCUACUGUAUAUACCUUUGACAUGAUUAGAUCCUCUGUGGGAUCAAUGUGGAAUGGGUGCUGAUUAAAAUAAAACAACAUGGCUGACAUGGCUGUAGCAGUUCCUGAUUGACCCUGAUAUUUCUCAGAAUGAAACAUACAGUUUGCAUACAGUACAAAUAAACGACAUACAUGUUACAUUUACCUUGUCAAUGUGUUACCAUAUUAUGUCAAAUUAGAUACAACUGUAAAAUCUAAAAUGGAAAAGAUACUAGCUAUGGUCACUACCUGAAGCACCUUGACAACCAGGGCAAGCUUUGUAGCCUUCUACACAUUUUGUGUUUGUGUUUGCUAGCAGAAUGCAUCUUCUACUUUUUUCCUUCUCUGUCACAAUGUUUGCCUUAAUUUUGUUGUUUUGUUCUACAUGAAGAAGGUUCAAAGUUUUCAUUCCCACUUCCUCUGUUACCUGCCUGUCACUUUCCUUCUCCUGACAAACAAUAUCUCUCCUCACCUGUCUCCCAACCCCCACUUCCUCUGUUUCCGGCCUGUCUCACUUCUUCUCCUGACAAAAUGUUUCUCUCCUCACUUUUCUCCCUUCCCUCUGUCUCACUCAUCAUAUAUCCUUCUCCUCCACUCUCUCUACUUUUUCUCUCUCCUUCUCAAUCCCAUUAAACCUUUCCCUCCCUCCCUCCCUCCCUCCC
This 2479-nucleotide long non-coding RNA is filed under the name Salmo salar (Atlantic salmon). Its description in RNAcentral is "lncRNA (ENSSSAG00000084745.1)". Lineage: Eukaryota; Metazoa; Chordata; Actinopteri; Salmoniformes; Salmonidae. The record is from RNAcentral.